AUAAAUUCAAUGAAAAAGAGAGUAGCUUAAAUGAAUUUUACAGAGAGUUAGGGUUGGUGGAAGCCUAAUAUUGAAGUUUGAGUGAAUAGAGCUUUGGAGGAUAUUGCAGGAAAUAUAAAAAGUAUUGCAAUAGGAUUGUCUCGCCUUAAGAGAAAGAGUGGAUAAGUAAAACUUGUCAAUUAGAGUGGUAACGCGGAAAAUAUUCGUCUCUUGA
RNAcentral lists this non-coding RNA (214 nucleotides) under Romboutsia lituseburensis. RNAcentral describes it as "T-box". It matches the Rfam family "T-box leader". Rfam says of the family: Uncharged tRNA acts as the effector for transcription antitermination of genes in the T-box leader family. T-boxes are found upstream of many aminoacyl-tRNA synthetase genes and some amino acid biosynthetic genes usually in Gram-positive bacteria. The anticodon of a specific tRNA base pairs to a specifier sequence within the T-box motif, and the NCCA acceptor tail of the tRNA base pairs to a conserved bulge in the T-box antiterminator hairpin. Lineage: Bacteria; Bacillati; Bacillota; Clostridia; Peptostreptococcales; Peptostreptococcaceae. The record is from RNAcentral.